GAAGGAAAUGAGGAAAAGAUCUCAUUAACAAUAUGUUUACUUAGUUAUUUAGGAAAAGAAAAGACUAAAAUGUAACCACAAUUAUUGUUAUGAUAUUAUUAUGCAGAUUGAAAAUUUCAUUAAAAUAAUUAUCUAGGAAAAUGUCCAACUUAAAAAAUCAUACUUGAAAAAGUUGUAGCUUCUGUUUUAAUAUAUAAGAUUUAUAGUAGAAAGAUUGCAUCCCUCAACAAGGCCCAUUAGAUAGCAGGUUGAUAUCACUCAAAUUACCCUAAGGAGUGAUUUAUACUCUCUCAAAUAAGAUGUCGAGUUGUAGUACUUAGGGAUUGAAUUCACAAGGAGCUAGGGAACCAAUUAGAUCUAAUAGUUAAACGAUUAAGCUAGGCUAAUAGUUUAUAAAACAAUAAAUAUAGAUAACAAAAUCAGUAAACACUAAACAAGUUGAUCAAGACUAUUCUUUAGCUUGGCAAAGAGUUGUUUGAUGGUGGUUUGCUAGAUCUAUGGUUUCUAUUCAGGUAAUCAGAAUUAUAAUGAUAGAGAGGCUAAUUGUUGCUUGCAAGAUAUUACUCAACUGGGAGUACAAAUCUAACAACUUCCGUUGUAUAGACAGUCUAAUAUCUAGAUCUUGGAUCUCAACUCUCGUUUUAUUGAUCACAAGAAAGUGU
RNAcentral lists this long non-coding RNA (662 nucleotides) under Brassica napus (rape). Its description in RNAcentral is "long non-coding RNA (BNAP_LNC021827)". Lineage: Eukaryota; Viridiplantae; Streptophyta; Magnoliopsida; Brassicales; Brassicaceae. The record is from RNAcentral.